GACGAACGCUGGCGGCGUGCUUAACACAUGCAAGUCGAACGGACAGGCCCUGCUUUUGUGGGGUGCUCGAUUGGCGAACGGGUGAGUAACACGUGAGUAACCUGCCCUUGACUUUGGGAUAACUUCAGGAAACUGGGGCUAAUACCGGAUAGGAGCUCCUGCUGCAUGGUGGUGGUUGGAAAGUUUCGGCGGUUGGGGAUGGACUCGCGGCUUAUCCGCUUGUUGGUGUGGUAGUGGCUUACCAGGGCUGUGACGGGUAGCCGGCCUGAGAGGGUGACCGGCCACAUUGGGACUGAGAUACGGCCCAGACUCCUACGGGAGGCAGCAGUGGGGAAUAUUGCACAAUGGGCGGAAGUCUGAUGCAGAAACGCCGCGUGCGGGAUGACGGCCUUCGGGUUGUAAACCGCUUUCGCCGGUGACGAAGCGUGAGUGACGGUAAUGGGUAAAGAAGCAACGGCUAACUACGUG
Molecule: ribosomal RNA, 468 nt
Filed under: uncultured bacterium
Lineage: Bacteria
Description: partial 16S ribosomal RNA
Rfam family: Bacterial small subunit ribosomal RNA
Source: RNAcentral